CGUAGGUGGCGAGCGUUAUCCGGAAUUACUGGGCGUAAAGCGUGUGCAGACGGGCUAGCAAGUGGUGUAUGAAAGCUCCCGGCUCAACCGGGAAGGGUUAUGCCAGACUGCUAGUCUUGAGUGCGAGAGAGGAGCGUGGAAUUCCGGGUGUAGUGGUGAAAUGCGUAGAGAUCCGGAGGAACCCCAGAGGCGAAGGCGGCGCUCUGGCUCGCAACUGACGCUCAGACACGACAGCAUGGGGAGCGAACGGGAUUAGAAACCCCGGUAGUCCAUGCCGUAAACGAUGCUAACUAGGCGCUGCGGGACUCAACCCCCGCGGUGCCGCAGCAAACGCGAUAAGUUAGCCGCCUGGGGAGUACGGCCGCAAGGCUA
RNAcentral lists this ribosomal RNA (372 nucleotides) under uncultured organism. Its description in RNAcentral is "bacterial SSU rRNA". It matches the Rfam family "Bacterial small subunit ribosomal RNA", at positions 526 to 896 of the family's 1533-position model. The record is from RNAcentral.